AGAGUUUGAUCAUGGCUCAGAAUCAACGCUGGCGGCGCGCUUAACACAUGCAAGUCGAACGAGAAAGUGGAGCAAUCCAUGAGUAAAGUGGCGCACGGGUGAGUAACACGUGGGUAAUCUGCCUCUGGGUGGGGAAUAACUCUGGGAAACCGGAGCUAAUACCGCAUAAGCCUGCAAGGGGAAAGGCGAAAGUCGCCGAGAGAGGAGCCCGCGGUCGAUUAGCUGGUUGGUGAGGUAAAGGCUCACCAAGGCUGUGAUCGAUAGCCGGCCUGAGAGGGCACACGGCCACACUGGCACUGAAACACGGGCCAGACUCCUACGGGAGGCAGCAGUGGGGAAUCUUGCACAAUGGGGGAAACCCUGAUGCAGCGACGCCGCGUGAGCGAUGAAGCCCUUCGGGGUGUAAAGCUCUUUCGGCAGGGACGAUAAUGACGGUACCUGAAGAAGAAGCUGCGGCUAACUACGUGCCAGCAGCCGCGGUAAUACGUAGGCAGCGAGCGUUGUUCGGAGUUACUGGGCGUAAAGAGUGCGUAGGCGGUGGCCCAAGUCUGGUGUGAAAUCUCCCGGCUCAACCGGGAGGGUGCGCCGGAAACUGGGUUGCUUGAGUACUGGAGAGGCAAGCGGAAUUCCUGGUGUAGCGGUGAAAUGCGUAGAUAUCAGGAGGAACACCCGUGGUGUAGACGGCUUGCUGGACAGUCAC
Molecule: ribosomal RNA, 700 nt
Filed under: uncultured bacterium
Lineage: Bacteria
Description: bacterial SSU rRNA
Rfam family: Bacterial small subunit ribosomal RNA
Source: RNAcentral